RNAcentral lists this transfer RNA (73 nucleotides) under Amycolatopsis saalfeldensis. It matches the Rfam family "tRNA". Rfam says of the family: Transfer RNA (tRNA) molecules are approximately 80 nucleotides in length. The record is from Rfam by way of RNAcentral. Lineage: Bacteria; Bacillati; Actinomycetota; Actinomycetes; Pseudonocardiales; Pseudonocardiaceae.
CGUCCUGUAGCUCAGUUGGCAGAGCAUCCGCGCGACAUGCGGAAGGCCCCAGGUUCAAACCCUGGCGGGACGA